This 913-nucleotide ribosomal RNA is filed under the name Drechslera erythrospila. Its description in RNAcentral is "LSU rRNA". It matches the Rfam family "Eukaryotic large subunit ribosomal RNA", at positions 38 to 964 of the family's 3401-position model. The record is from RNAcentral. Lineage: Eukaryota; Fungi; Ascomycota; Dothideomycetes; Pleosporales; Pleosporaceae.
GCAUAUCAAUAAGCGGAGGAAAAGAAACCAACAGGGAUUGCCCUUAGUAACGGCGAAGUGAAGCGGCAACAGCUCCAAAUUUGAAAUCUGGCUCUUUCAGGGUCCGAGUUGUAAUUUGCAGAGGGCGCUUUGGCUUUGGCAGCGGUCCAAGUUCCUUGGAACAGGACGUCACAGAGGGUGAGAAUCCCGUACGUGGUCGCUAGCUAUUGCCGUGUAAAGCCCCUUCGACGAGUCGAGUUGUUUGGGAAUGCAGCUCUAAAUGGGAGGUAAAUUUCUUCUAAAGCUAAAUACUGGCCAGAGACCGAUAGCGCACAAGUAGAGUGAUCGAAAGAUGAAAAGCACUUUGGAAAGAGAGUCAAACAGCACGUGAAAUUGUUGAAAGGGAAGCGCUUGCAGCCAGACUUGCUUGCAGUUGCUCAUCCGGGCUUUUGCCCGGUGCACUCUUCUGCAGGCAGGCCAGCAUCAGUUUGGGCGGUGGGAUAAAGGUCUCUGUCACGUACCUCUCUUCGGGGAGGCCUUAUAGGGGAGACGACAUACCACCAGCCUGGACUGAGGUCCGCGCAUUCGCUAGGAUGCUGGCGUAAUGGCUGUAAGCGGCCCGUCUUGAAACACGGACCAAGGAGUCUAACAUCUAUGCGAGUGUUUGGGUGUCAAGCCCGAACGCGUAAUGAAAGUGAACGGAGGUGGGAACCCGCAAGGGUGCACCAUCGACCGAUCCUGAUGUCUUCGGAAGGAUUUGAGUAAGAGCAUGGCUGUUGGGACCCGAAAGAUGGUGAACUAUGCUUGAAUAGGGUGAAGCCAGAGGAAACUCUGGUGGAGGCUCGCAGCGGUUCUGACGUGCAAAUCGAUCGUCAAAUUUGGGCAUAGGGGGCGAAAGACUAAUCGAACUAUCUAGUAGCUGGGUUCCUGCCGA